RNAcentral lists this unclassified non-coding RNA (238 nucleotides) under uncultured fungus. Its description in RNAcentral is "sequence contains ITS1". The record is from RNAcentral. Lineage: Eukaryota; Fungi.
GUAUUGCAUUGCCAUCAAACGUUCCAUAAGACUUUGUUACAGAGUGGAUGUGGUGACGCAGAACUACGGGAAGGAGGACGGAGUCUCUCCUCUAGACCAUAGAACUACGGAGGGUGCACAGAUGUGAGUGGAUGUGUAGACAGAGCGUGCACGUGCGUCCCCCCGCUAGAGGGGGGGGCCAGCAACAGCUCGUGUCGACGAUUCGAUAAUGAUCCUUCCGCAGGUUCACCUACGGAAA